CUAGUUGCACGAGUUCAGACUCGUAGCAGAUAGCUCAGUAACACGUGGCCAAACUACCCUAUGGAUCCGGAUAACCUCGGGAAACUGAGGCUAAUCCGGAAUACGACUCUCAGCCUGGAACUGGCGAGAGUCAGAAACGCUCCGGCGCCAUAGGAUGUGGCUGCGGCCGAUUAGGUAGACGGUGGGGUAACGGCCCACCGUGCCCAUAAUCGGUACGGGUUGUGAGAGCAAGAGCCCGGAGACGGUAUCUGAGACAAGAUACCGGGCCCUACGGGGCGCAGCAGGCGCGAAACCUUUACACUGCACGAAAGUGCGAUAAGGGGACUCCAAGUGCGAGGGCAUAUAGUCCUCGCUUUUCACUACCGUAAGGUGGUAGUAGAAUAAGUGCUGGGCAAGACCGGUGCCAGCCGCCGCGGUAAUACCGGCAGCACGAGUGAUGACCGCUCUUAUUGGGCCUAAAGCGUCCGUAGCUGGCCACGCAAGUCUAUCGGGAAAUCCGCGCGCUCAACGCGCGGGCGUCCGGUGGAAACUGUGUGGCUUGGGACCGGAAGAUCUGAAGGGUACGUCCGGGGUAGGAGUGAAAUCCCGUAAUCCUGGACGGACCACCGGUGGCGAAAGCGCUCUGGAAAGACGGAUCCGACGGUGAGGGACGAAAGCUCGGGUCACGAACCGGAUUAGAUACCCGGGUAGUCCGAGCUGUAAACGAUGUCUGCUAGGUGUGCCACAGGCUACGAGCCUGUGGUGUGCCGUAGGGAAGCCGUGAAGCAGACCGCCUGGGAAGUACGUCCGCAAGGAUGAAAC
This 801-nucleotide ribosomal RNA is filed under the name Natrinema hispanicum. RNAcentral describes it as "bacterial SSU rRNA". It matches the Rfam family "Archaeal small subunit ribosomal RNA", at positions 54 to 855 of the family's 1478-position model. The record is from RNAcentral. Lineage: Archaea; Methanobacteriati; Methanobacteriota; Halobacteria; Halobacteriales; Natrialbaceae.